UACAGAGGUCCCGAGCGUUGUUCGGAUUCAUUGGGCGUAAAGGGUGCGUAGGCGGCGGGGAAAGUCUGAUGUGAAAUCCUGGGGCUCAACCCUGGAACUGCAUUGGAUACUUCCUUGCUAGAGUACUGGAGAGGAAACUGGAAUUUACGGUGUAGCGGUGAAAUGCGUAGAGAUCGUAAGGAAGACCAGUGGCGAAGGCGAGUUUCUGGACAGUUACUGACGCUGAGGCACGAAGGCCAGGGGAGCAAACGGG
Molecule: ribosomal RNA, 253 nt
Filed under: uncultured bacterium
Lineage: Bacteria
Description: partial 16S ribosomal RNA
Rfam family: Bacterial small subunit ribosomal RNA
Source: RNAcentral